Molecule: ribosomal RNA, 468 nt
Filed under: uncultured bacterium
Lineage: Bacteria
Description: partial 16S ribosomal RNA
Rfam family: Bacterial small subunit ribosomal RNA
Source: RNAcentral
GACGAACGCUGGCGGCGUGCUUAACACAUGUAAGUCGAACGGAAAGGCCCUGCUUUUGUGGGGUGCUCGAGUGGCGAACGGGUGAGUAACACGUGAGUAACCUGCCCUUGACUUUGGGAUAACUUCAGGAAACUGGGGCUAAUACCGGAUAGGAGCUCCUGCUGCAUGGUGGGGGUUGGAGAGUUUCGGCGGUUGGGGAUGGACUCGCGGCUUAUCAGCUUGUUGGUGGGGUAGUGGCUUACCAAGGCUUUGACGGGUAGCCGGCCUGAGAGGGUGACCGGCCACAUUGGGACUGAGAUACGGCCCAGACUCCUACGGGAGGCAGCAGUGGGGAAUAUUGCACAAUGGGCGGAAGCCUGAUGCAGCAACGCCGCGUGCGGGAUGACGGCCUUCGGGUUGUAAACCGCUUUCGCCUGUGACGAAGCGUGAGUGACGGUAAUGGGUAAAGAAGCACCGGCUAACUACGUG